RNAcentral lists this long non-coding RNA (2472 nucleotides) under Mus musculus (house mouse). RNAcentral describes it as "predicted gene, 41609 (Gm41609)". Lineage: Eukaryota; Metazoa; Chordata; Mammalia; Rodentia; Muridae. The record is from RNAcentral.
GCUAGUCUUCUAUUGUUUGCCUUCGGAACAAGAGGUAGAACUCUCCGCUCUACCAGCGCCAUCCCUGCCUGGAUGCUGCCAUGCUUCCUGCCAUGAUGAUAAUGGACUGAACGUCCGAACCCUUCUCCAGGCAUGCCCUUGAACGUGGCUUAUAUCACCUGUCCAUCUGAUACUUCAACACCCAAUAAUUCGCUCUGCAACUGUCCUUGUGGAGGAAAGCAUAGUCUCCGAAGCCUUGUUUUGAGCACCUCUUGGGGAGGGCCUCGGACACUGAGAAGAACAUCCACACAGAACUUGUUACACAGCCAAAGAUAACUUUGAACUGCUGAUCCUGUUGCCUGCAUCUCCUAGUGCUAGGACCACAGGCACACGCUCUGUGCCUGGGCUAUGCAGUGUUAGAAUUGAGCGCAGGGCUUUGAGCAUGACAGGUAAGCACCCUUAAGAACUGAGCUGCAUCCCCAGCCCAAACAAACAUUUUUAUUUCCAUGUUAGAAAUGGAGAAGGCAGUUGUGCUGGCUGGUUUUGUGUGUCUACUUGACACAGCUGGAGUUAUCACAGAGAAAGGAGCUUCAGUUGAGGAAAUGCCUCCAUGAGAUCCAUCUGCAAGGUAUUUUCUCAAUUAGUGAUCAAGUGGGGAGGGACCAGCCCAUUGUGGGUGGUGCCAUCUGUGGGCUGGUAGUCCUGGGUUCUAUAAGAAAGCAGGCUGAGUAAGACAGGGGAAGCAAGCUAGUAAGCAGCAUGCUCUAUAGUCUCUGCAUCAGCUCCUGCCUCCAAGUUCUUGCCCUGUGUGAGUUCCUGUCCUGACUACAAUGUAUAAGUGUAAGCUGAGUAAACCCUUCCCUUCUCCAGCUUGCUUCUUGGUCAUGAUGUUUUGUGCAGGAAUAGAAACCCUGACUAAGACAAAUUGGUACCAGCAUAGUUGGGUAUUCCUAUGACAACCUGACCCUGUUUUGGGGAGGACUGUGGAAGGACUUUGAAACUUUGGGCUAGAAGGGCCAUUGGGAUGUUAAGAGCUCUGUGGGAUGUUCUGUAGGAGCUUGGAAGAUAAUGUUGUGAGUGUGCAAACGAUGGAGGCCUGGCUUCUGAAAUCUUAGAGGGAAGAUUAAAGACUCUUAUCAUAGGCCAUUGCUGUUUUGAUUGUGAAGAUUCUGUGGUUUUGGUUAGCUGGGGCUGAAGAAUCAACUGUGAUCAAUAAGAUACCAGAUCUACUAAAGUGAAACCUUUGCAUUACUGGGACUAUUGGUACUGGUUAGCUGGAGCUAAGAAAUCAGCAGUGAUUAAGAAGAGACCAACAUCAUUGAGGUGAAAUCUGGGAAGUGUUUUCUGAGUGCACAAAGAAGUUGUGUUCAGAGAUAGCCAAGGUUGUACCUUGUGCUGCAGCUAGACUUGGUAAUGUGUAACAAUCACCCAGGUGAUACUGGUUUUGAAGGCAGAAGGGGGUCAUGAAGCAGCUGAGGCUUGGCACUGUGAGAGGCCAUGGAAGGCCAUUGGUGAAGGUGCAGCCUCAGUUGCAAUUGAUGGCCUGGGACUGAAGGGGUCAUGCAAAGGAGCUUGGCACCAUGAAGAGAGCCUAUGAGAGGUUACUGGAAGACAGCAGUGUUUUGGAGAAGCCAGUACCUUGAGAUGACCACCAAGAACAGCAGCAGCACAGGCAGUUGGAGCCUAGAAGACAGGGUGCGUGCUACAAAGGGCAGAGCUGGAGAAGUGACCCAAGCCCUUGGAGGAGCCCAGAAGAUGUGCCCUCAGAUACUGGAAGAGGAUGUCCGAUCUCCUGGAUCUGUAGUCACUGGUAACGCUGCCAUCUGGGUGCUGGAGCCCUCUGCGAGAACAGCAAGUGCUCUGCACCACUGACGUCACUCUCUGCUCACCUCCAGUGGCAAGGCCAGUGAGCUUGCAGGCUUGUCACGGGAUGAAUACUGUGCGGCCCUUCGCCACUCAGACGGGAGCAGAGCCACAGAUGAGUGCAGCCGCCACGCUGUAUUUACACGGGAAGUAUUUACACGGGAAGAUACUGUGCCACCCUCCUACCGCCCAGACAGGAAGUGCUGCCGCCUCCAGCCUCCACCUCGGGACUUACCACUUCUCUUCUUCUACUUGCACUCCCACGGACUGGAACUUAUUGGACGUCUUACUCUCUGCCAUUUUCUCCGGCUCUUCGGCAUCGUCCACCUGAAGGAAUCAUCAAGGAAACAGAGUUGUUUCCAUUGUCUCACGGGAGAAGCAGACAGGCUUUCACCUCUGGGAUAUGACGGGACUGUUCGGUGACUUACAACCUCUUUGAUCCACAUUUGUGCAUCUGAUAGCAGCGAUUACUACAUUCUUUUUAUUAUUUUUUGUUUUUGUUUUUUCUCGAGACAGGAUUUCUCUGUAUUGCCCUGGCUGUCCUAGAACUCACUUUGUAGACCAGGCUGGCCUCGAACUCAGAAAUCCGCCUGCCUCCGGAGUACUGGGAUUAAAGACGUGCGCCACCUC